This 2382-nucleotide long non-coding RNA is filed under the name Homo sapiens (human). RNAcentral describes it as "HSALNT0402588". The record is from RNAcentral. Lineage: Eukaryota; Metazoa; Chordata; Mammalia; Primates; Hominidae.
GGUCUUUGUCUCUUGCUGGCGCUGGCACAGGAACUUGGGAUCCGUCUCCUCUUUCGCCUCCUCCGCUUUGGGAGCCCCGGGCUACUCUUUCACAGCCCCUGUUGCCCUGUGAUCUGUAGGUCCUUGGGGACGCACAGUUAAGAUGACAGGACAUCCUGGAAGCUGGGAAAUGGCUGAAUGCUAUCCAGUGAAUAUACGUGCCCUGUUUGUUGAAUCUACUCAUCCUUAAAGAUAUGUAUUCAUUUCCUACCACCGUAGUGGAAGAGAGAUUUUCCCUAUCUUUACAACUGAUAGCAUUUCCAACAGUAAGCUGUGAGAUUCUGCUUGAAAUCACCUCUCAAACAAAUAAAAAACAGACCUGGGAGACAUGCUACACUCAUUCUGCUGAGGAAAUAGGCAUCAUAGCUGGGAAACGGAUUCACAAGACCCAGGCUGUUCCCUACAUAUGUUUCCUCCUCCGACAUCAGUUCAUCAGUCAAUCAAGCCAUGUGAGAGUGGAGGCCUUGUAUUCCCUAUUAUUCUUGGGCACUCUACUCCAAGUAGGAAAAGGCCAGGAGGUCCUGUUAAAGGAUGCACUCAGAGCCCGGGCUCCCUAACAUAUGAGAGUGCUAACCAGCAGGUGUAGACUUUUCAGGAGUGAAGAAUGAGGCAGGCAUUCCAAACCUGGACCUUCAUCACCUUUUGUUUCAUCUCAAGACAAUUCUGAGGGACUGUUUUGGAGCGUGUCUGGAAGGUGAACCUUGAAGAAGAGUGUGGGCUUUGAUGUGACUCAGUUGAGAUCUUUCAUGGGGAGGCAGGAAUUCAAUGCCCAGAAUCUGGGCUGGUGUCUUUGAGGUCAGUAGGUUGCGUCUUUGUAUCCAAGUCCAUUGUUACUAGGUUGGAGGCUGGAGAUUCUAAAUGGCUUCCAGACCAUCUCUCUGAUUCUCUUUGGGAGAUGGGGUCUGAAAGACAAUGUCAGUAGUUUUGGGAAAUUCUAGAAAGUGUGCUUGGAAACGUGGGAAGAGCUCUUGCCUAGUGCCUAAAUGCUCCAUUUGCAGCUCUAGCCAAGUAGAUACUUGGUAGGUAUAGAGCCGGGUUUGCGUUUAUAUCAGCAAAACCUAUGUCAGAGUUGAAGAAGUAGUCAGGAAAAAGCGUCUUGGUCGCAGGCCGGGGAACAUCUUAAAAGCAAACUUCUAGCCUGCUGACUCUUGGCAAUGAGUGUUGGAUCCUGGCUAAAGUGCCUUGAAUGCAGCAUGAGGCCAAUCCAUGAAUCCAACUUCUCAUGGAGAAAUGUUAAUAUUUUUUCAGUUUGAAUCAAUCAGGGUGAAACUACCAUGCUAUUGGUUUGCUUACUUUUUAUUAUUUCAUGUAAAAUCUAAGACAAAAUACAUUAAAUGCUUAUUGACAUAUGUAUUUAUUCUUCACCAGGCUGAUAAUAUCUGCCUAAUUUUAAACUUUCUUCCAUUUUGUAGGUUUCAACUUAUUCUAUUGUAAGAUACUGUUAAAUCUAAUAGAGGCAUUGUCACUUUUACGUAUAAUUUUAUUUUAUUUCAUAUAUUUCCUAUUGGCUUUUUACAUUUAAAUUAUGGAGCACUUCAUCAUAUAAAAAACUUCAAUUAUAUUUAAACAGUAAGUCUUUGGAUUUUUUUGCCUUGUAAUUUCCAUAUUACAUAAUAAUGAGAUAAACAUUAAUGUUUUCAGGGUACUUUAAAUUUUAGAUAAUUACUCAUUGUAUUCAUGUGAAAUUUGUUUUUACUGCAUGUGUGGGUUGGAGGACUGUUUUCACUUCUGAUUCAUCUUUACUCUUAUCUCAUCAGAGCUCAUACCUCUUGUAGUUGGGGGAUUGCAGUUUAUAAUUCCAAUAAAUGGGGCAAAUUCAAUAAUAACAUAAUACAAAUGAGUUUGAAUGCAGGACAGGUCUUCAAAGCAUACACAACAUGGGCCUACAUAUGUACAACAAUAAUAAUUUAUAAGUUACUGUUUGGAUGGAAAGUAAAAGUACAGAAAAUUUGUUAAAGGAAAUUAAAAUGGAGAUCAUGUCUCAAUAAUCUCUGAGCAGACAAAAUUAGUUAGGUCUCAUAAGUGAUCUCAACCUCGCUUGAUUUGCAAAUACAAACAAAACUUAAAUUAUUUCUUGUAGCUGCAUAUUGAAAAAAGAGAAAUGAAGCUCAACCAGUCAGAAGUAGCCAACAACCUUAUAUAAAUAGAAACUGUCCAACAAGGUAAACAGACAAACAAAAAACAAUAAAAAAAGUUGUGCUACCACCAAAUGAUUUCUUUGUUUCUACAUUUUUCAAAUAAAUACUUGCUUCUUACACUGUCAAUGAAGCACUCAAUAUCUUUCCGUCUGAUAUUUUAUAAUUUAUCAAUUGCUCUUACUCAAAUAAACACUUUGCAAUUUCA